GACGAACGCCGGCGGCGUGCUUAACACAUGCAAGUCGAACGGAAAGGCCCUGCUUUUGUGGGGUGCUCGAGUGGCGAACGGGUGAGUAACACGUGAGUAACCUGCCCUUGACUUUGGGAUAACUUCAGGAAACUGGGGCUAAUACCGGAUAGGAGCUCCUGCUGCAUGGUGGGGGUUGGAAAGUUUCGGCGGUUGGGGAUGGACUCGCGGCUUAUCAGCUUGUUGGUGGGGUAGUGGCUUACCAAGGCUUUGACGGGUAGCCGGCCUGAGAGGGUGACCGGCCACAUUGGGACUGAGAUACGGCCCAGACUCCUACGGGAGGCAGCAGUGGGGAAUAUUGCACCAUGGGCGGAAGCCUGAUGCAGCAACGCCGCGUGCGGGAUGACGGCCUUCGGGUUGUAAACCGCUUUCGCCUGUGACGAAGCGUGAGUGACGGUAAUGGGUAAAGAAGCACCGGCUAACUACGUG
Molecule: ribosomal RNA, 468 nt
Filed under: uncultured bacterium
Lineage: Bacteria
Description: partial 16S ribosomal RNA
Rfam family: Bacterial small subunit ribosomal RNA
Source: RNAcentral